RNAcentral lists this long non-coding RNA (3066 nucleotides) under Heterocephalus glaber (naked mole-rat). Its description in RNAcentral is "lncRNA (ENSHGLG00000043075.1)". Lineage: Eukaryota; Metazoa; Chordata; Mammalia; Rodentia; Bathyergidae. The record is from RNAcentral.
CAGGGCAGGGCGGGGCGGGGCCUGCGUCACGGGGCGGGGAGACGCACUCGGCCACCGCCCCGGCUCCCUUUCCUGGGCCGGGCGGUGCGGUAGACCCUGACCUGCGGGCCUCGGAGGGGAAGCCCUGCGCCCUGGUGCCCGGCCCGGAGCCCACGCGGGACUGGGAAGGCGCCGAGCCUCCCUAGGAGCUGCCGGGGGGAGGCGACCCCAGAACAGCGUCCCGGAGAGCCGCCGGCGGGGUGUGGGGCCGGGUCCCCCAGCAGCGAGGGGCCCCAAAGCCGACCGGAGCGCUUGGGACGUUAAGCGCCCUUCUUCCGGUCUGUGAGCUUCGGCGGCGGCGCCGGCCCUUCCUUUAGCCCUCUCGGGACCGUUACGUGAACCCGCACUGCCUUCUUCCCUUCCGGGACCCCUGCACAGGCCCCGCGCCCGCCCCGACUCGGAACCGAGGGGAAAGAAAGGCGCGGCGGCAGGAAAACGGGAGAGGUCUAGGCCGGCCGGGGCUGCUGGAGGACUCAGCCCAGCUCUGGAGUGGACAAGUGCAGGCCGCGGCUUUUCAUCCAGAUAAAACAGUGAGCUCAGCAGAGUCCGAAGCUUAUCUCUGUUACCCAGCUUAGCCACACGGAAGCUCUAAGAAUUCACCUUCCAAAAUACUUCGUUUUUGAUUAAAAUAUAUAUAGAUGCUUUAUAACUGCCCAAAUAAGUACAGUGCUGUAAAGGGAAAAGAAAAAAGAAAUGCAUGAUGCAUUUACUCAGUUUAGAAAGGAGAUCUAUGCAAAAACCGAAAUAUUAUUUAAAAAAAUCAAAUCUGCAAAUUUGUGGGGGUUUUUUUGAGGCAGGGUCUCCCUUUGUAGUUCAGGCUGGCCCUGAACUCACGAUGUAGCCUAGGCUGGCCUCGAACUCACAGCGAUCCUCCUGCCACAGCCUUCCCAGUGCUGGGAUCACAAGCAUGCACCACCACGCCCGGCAAAUCUGCAAAUUUAUAACAUGCUAUUUUAGCCAGCGGCCCCCACUCAUUGUGUUCCAGUCCCUUCGUGCACGUGCCAUGUCUCCCUGAAGUGGAGAUGCCUCCCCACAUUUUGCAGAUGAGGAAUCAGCCCAAGAGGCUUUCUUUUAUUUAACCAAAAUCGGUGCAGUUAACAAAUGCGCAGGCCACCACCCAAACCUAGUUUGACUCGGAAGCCCAGACUUCUCCCCUGUCAUGCUACAUUUUGCUGUGUUGGCGUCAGUCAACAGAUUUCUCCUGUGUGGAGGAGACUGAGGUGUUUGGGGUGGUGAUUUGGAAACCCAGGCGCUUCUACUUUGAGCGGAAGUUCCCAGUCUUCAUACUUGAGAUCCUGAAACCCAGCCUAGUGUCCCCAUCUUAUAUUGAUGAAAAAGUUUAGGGCUAAAAUAUCUAUGGAGCUCUCCGGUUCCAAAGUGAUAAACAUAGGCCCCAAGGUAAAAAUAGAAAACAUGAUGUUGGCGGAGCAAAAUCGUCUCUCAACCUCUUCCCAAUAACUAAAUCAAGACUAAUCAAGGGGAGCACACGGAAGGGGUCAAUAUUUGUGCUCAAGAGUCCAUAAUUCAGUAGGGAGGUUUUAUGUAAUAAUCGCUAGGAAAAUGCCCUAGCGGAGGGGGAGGGCUGGGGCUUGGAGAGGAGCUCUGCCUGCUGGUUGGGCCAUAGCGAUAAAUGUUUGAGGAGAUAAGGCAAAGAGCACAGGGAGAUAAGGAAGCCGACACUGGAAGACAAGAUGAGGCCCAGCUGACUAUACAAUAUCAGGGUGACUAAGGUUAGGGAACAGAAAUAGCUUUAAUUUCAGUGGGGAUGUAUAUAUACUGGGGAUUGAAACCAGGGCCUUUGCACUAAACUGCCCUAGACCUUUCUUUCUUCCCUUUAUGGUUUUUUGAGAGAAUCUCGAUAGAUAGUCCAGGCUGGCCUUGAACUCUCUAUGUAGCCCAUGAUGUCCUUGAACUCAGAAUCAUCCUGCGUCAGCCUCCUGAGUGCUGGAAUUACAGGCAUUCACCACCAUGCCUGGCCAUAACCUUUCUUUUUUUAAAUGGGUCUCGCUAAGUUGCAAAAUUGCCCAGGCUUAGCCUAUUGAAGAUGUGUGCCAUUCUCUAAUUUUAAUUCCUAAAACAGUAAGGCUUUGGGGGGGGGGUGCCUGAUUGGUAAAGGGUUUGGCUCACGUGCAAGGCCCUGGGUUUGAGCCCCAGCACCACUAAACAAAUCGAUAUUGAGGGAACAGUCGCGUUAUUGCUAAGCACAAAGGAAUCUCCGGCACAGUCGUCACAGACCUUUGGAUUUUCAUUCCUCCUUUGAACCAAGAAGUUUCCAAAGAGCCACCUUAGAUAAGAAGCAGAAUUUGGUGCCUUUGGUGACUAAUAGGAGAGGAAGCCAAGACAAGCUUGAGAUGACUCCAGAGUCUGAAGUCUGUGAGCCUGCCCGCCCUGCUCCAGGAGAAGAGUGGCUGACAGAUUCUCAGAAUUCCAGAUGAGCCCAAAGCUGUCAUGUGGAUGACCUCUACCCUGCUCAAUGAAUCCCAGCGGAAUAUUGUGCCAGGAGAAGGUGGCAGACAGAAGUGACCAAGAGUGCCAUCCACUUAGCUGUUGUCUGCGGACUUGGUUGUCUCUGGAGCGUUGUAGCGGAACCCAGCCUGUGUUUGCUGCUGUAAAUGAACCACAGCCGGGGUUCACUUUGCUGGUGUUUUCGGGAGGGAAGGCUUUGUGACUCAGCACCUGGAAGCUGCUUCUCUACAUUGGCUCCUCCUCCUCACCUUUCCCAACUCGGCUAAGGCAAAGUCUCUCUGUGCUGUGGCCAACACCUACCUGGACACGUGGGUGCAGCUGGCUCAAAGUCAGGCAUAGGUUUCAGCAGAGGAGUGGGAAAAAAACCCCUCAAAACAAACUUCUUCUAUUUAUUCCUUGAAAUGUUAUCUUAUAAAGCUAUCCUGACAUACCAGAUGUUUCUGAAGAGUUUGUGGUAAGAGAUCUUAUUGUGUGAGGGAAAUUUUUAAUAAACUAAAAGUAAAAUAACACAAACUCUUGGCUAGAGUUGUAACCAUUGCUCAAGAGAAAACAAGAAAAAAG